GAGACUCUGUGCGCGUGCAUAUCAAUAAGCGGAGGAAAAGAAACUAACUAGGAUUCCCUCAGUAACGGCGAGUGAAGCGGGAAGAGCUCAAAUUUGAAAUCUUCAAGGUUCUACCUUGACGAAUUAUAGUUUAAAGAAGUGUUUUCUGUUGGAGUUUCGGUAAAAGUUCUUUGGAAUAGGACAUCAUAGAGGGUGAGAAUCCCGUAUUUGACCGUUACUUUCCAGCUGUGUGAUACACUUUCAAAGAGUCGGAUUGUUUGGGAAUGCAGUCCAAGAUGGGUGGUAAAUUUACAUCUAAAGCUAAAUAUUGGCGAGAGACCGAUAGCGAACAAGUACCGUGAGGGAAAGAUGAAAAGAACUUUGAAAAGAGAGUUAAACAGUACGUGAAAUUGUCAAAAGGGAAGCGUUUGACACCAGUGUUGUUUAGUUGAAAAUCAAUUCAAUAAUUUUUGAUUCUGAGUAGUAUUGACUUCAUCAGCUUGCUGCUUUCUUCUCAGAAAUUAUUGAAUGCACUUUUCAGUUAACAAGUCAACAUCAAUUUCUUUUGUUGUAAAAGGGUAAGAGGAAGGUGGCUUACGCUUCGGCGUAAGUGUUUAUAGCCUUUUACCUCUGCAAUCGGAGAGAUUGAGGACAGCAGCGUAGACUCCUUCGGGGUUAGAUACACUGGUGCUAAGCUAUAGCCUUGUAUAGACAACUUGUUGACUAUGCUCAGUCAUGUAGCUUACUCGCUUGUGCUAUUUUACCUACGCUUAGGAUGUUGAUCUGUAGUGCGUGCGC
Molecule: ribosomal RNA, 777 nt
Filed under: uncultured Neocallimastigales
Lineage: Eukaryota; Fungi; Neocallimastigomycota; Neocallimastigomycetes; Neocallimastigales
Description: partial large subunit ribosomal RNA
Rfam family: Eukaryotic large subunit ribosomal RNA
Source: RNAcentral